UACGGAGGGUGCAAGCGUUAUCCGGAUUUACUGGGUUUAAAGGGUGCGUAGGCGGACUUUUAAGUCAGUGGUGAAAUCCCCGAGCUUAACUCGGAAACUGCCAUUGAUACUAUUAGUCUUGAAUUCGGUCGAGGUUGGCGGAAUGUGUCGUGUAGCGGUGAAAUGCUUAGAUAUGACACAGAACACCGAUUGCGAAGGCAGCUAGCUAGACCGACAUUGACGCUGAGGCACGAAAGCGUGGGGAUCAAACAGG
Molecule: ribosomal RNA, 253 nt
Filed under: uncultured bacterium
Lineage: Bacteria
Description: partial 16S ribosomal RNA
Rfam family: Bacterial small subunit ribosomal RNA
Source: RNAcentral